RNAcentral lists this ribosomal RNA (443 nucleotides) under uncultured bacterium. RNAcentral's name for it is "partial 16S ribosomal RNA". It matches the Rfam family "Bacterial small subunit ribosomal RNA", at positions 338 to 795 of the family's 1533-position model. The record is from RNAcentral.
CCUACGGGUGGCAGCAGUGGGGAAUAUUGGGCAAUGGGCGCAAGCCUGACCCAGCAACGCCGCGUGCAGGAAGAAGGCUUUCGGGUUGUAAACUUCUUUUCUCAGGGACGAAGCAAGUGACGGUACCUGAGGAAUAAGCCACGGCUAACUACGUGCCAGCAGCCGCGGUAAUACGUAGGUGGAAAGCGUUAUGCGGAUUUACUGGGUGUAAAGGGCGUGUAGGGGGGAAAUCAAGUCAGAUGUGAAAACCAUGGGCUCAACCUGUGGCCUGUAUUUGAAACUGUUUAUCUCGAGUACUUGAGAGGCAGAUGGAAUUUCUAGUGUAGGGGUGAAAUGCGUAGAUAUUAGGAGGAACACCAGUGGCGAAGGCAGGCUGCUGGACAGCAACUGACGCUGAGGCGCGAAAGCGUAGGGAGCAAACAGGAUUAGAUACCCCUGUAGUC